GGCCGGUAUCGAAGUCAGAUGGUUCACUUCACCUUCGCUCCUUCUUCAACUUCUUUUCUUCCAUGGAUGUCUGCAUUUCACCUUUGGAUGCAUAAACAACUGAAUAAGGUCUUGGAUCCCAACAACGGUGCUGCACAAUUUCUAGAGGCCUCAGGAUGGGCGUCCAGAGUUGAAAUUAGAGGACAGAAAAUAUUAGCGUAGCUGCUGUUUAUUAUGUAUUUAAACAAGAGAUAUCAAUCACAAUGUAAAAAUGAAGUGCUAUUAAAAAAAAUAUGAACAAACA
Danio rerio (zebrafish) is the source of this 283-nucleotide non-coding RNA. Lineage: Eukaryota; Metazoa; Chordata; Actinopteri; Cypriniformes; Danionidae. The record is from Ensembl.